AAGGGCCGACCUUCUUGUCCUUGACUCAUCCCGUAGCCUUAAGCCAAUCACCGCCUUGUGGUCCUCAGCUUCUGCUUCGGGACAGUCAGGACGCUUGGCCAGAUGGUUCCCAAGCCUCUCCUGCCUCUGAUGUGGAAGCAGCUGUGAUCCUUGUCGAUGUUACAACUACCAAUAUCAGGAUCCUUCUGGAAUGUUCUCACAUGCAGCUGGCCACUAACCGCUGGCAAAGGCCUGGGGGGGUCAGCAGGGAGUAGACAGAAAUGACAAAGAAACCAGAAGAAAAGUAAGAACCAACCACUUUAGCGGUUCCUGGCCAUUCAGAAAGUUGAGGAUUUUCUAAUCUGCCCAAGCAGACAGGAGAAAUGCCCGCCUAAUCAGACACAGCUUAGAAAAAGGGGCAUGAAGGACGGCCCCUCCAUCCACGGAAAACCACCCCAGUGUGACAGUGACGCGGACGUGCCUGGUUGCCGCCAUCCCAGAAAUAACCGGCGCCCCCCCAAGA
This is a long non-coding RNA of Suricata suricatta (meerkat), 502 nucleotides long. RefSeq lists it as uncharacterized. Lineage: Eukaryota; Metazoa; Chordata; Mammalia; Carnivora; Herpestidae. The transcript has 3 exons. The record is from RefSeq and is a predicted model, not a curated record.